GGGUGAGUAACACGUGGGCAACCUGCCUCAUAGAGGGGAAUAGCCUUCCGAAAGGGAGAUUAAUACCGCAUAAGAUUGUAGCUUCGCAUGAAGUAGCAAUUAAAGGAGCAAUCCGCUAUGAGAUGGGCCCGCGGCGCAUUAGCUAGUUGGUGAGGUAACGGCUCACCAAGGCGACGAUGCGUAGCCGACCUGAGAGGGUGAUCGGCCACAUUGGGACUGAGACACGGCCCAGACUCCUACGGGAGGCAGCAGUGGGGAAUAUUGCACAAUGGGGGAAACCCUGAUGCAGCAACGCCGCGUGAGUGAUGACGGCCUUCGGGUUGUAAAGCUCUGUCUUCAGGGACGAUAAUGACGGUACCUGAGGAGGAAGCCACGGCUAACUACGUGCCAGCAGCCGCGGUAAUACGUAGGUGGCGAGCGUUGUCCGGAUUUACUGGGCGUAAAGGGAGCGUAGGCGGAUUUUUAAGUGAGAUGUGAAAUACUCGGGCUCAACUUGAGUGCUGCAUUUCAAACUGGAAGUCUAGAGUGCAGGAGAGGAGAAUGGAAUUCCUAGUGUAGCGGUGAAAUGCGUAGAGAUUAGGAGGAACACCAGUGGCGAAGGCGAUUCUCUGGACUGUAACUGACGCUGAGGCUCGAAAGCGUGGGGAGCGAACAGGAUUAGAUACCCUGGUAGUCCACGCCGUAAACGAU
RNAcentral lists this ribosomal RNA (690 nucleotides) under uncultured bacterium. Its description in RNAcentral is "bacterial SSU rRNA". It matches the Rfam family "Bacterial small subunit ribosomal RNA", at positions 104 to 810 of the family's 1533-position model. The record is from RNAcentral.